GGAUGGGUGCUAGAGUGGUCUAAUAGAACAGUCUUGAAAACUGUCGCCCGCGCAAGUGGGCCGUGAGUUCGAAUCUCACCCCAUCCG
Molecule: transfer RNA, 87 nt
Filed under: Candidatus Tayloriibacteriota bacterium
Lineage: Bacteria; Candidatus Tayloriibacteriota
Description: tRNA-Ser
Rfam family: tRNA
About the family: Transfer RNA (tRNA) molecules are approximately 80 nucleotides in length.
Source: RNAcentral